CGUGCUGACCUGAACUUAGCUUUGCAACUUGUGAAAGCUUCGAUCAGUCCACAGCAGUCCCAUGCAUCGUGAAGCUCGACUCUUGUACGAAUCCAUCUAGUAAUUCCCAGAAGUCGAUUAGCUUAUCUGUUAAACAGCAUCAUCAUGAAGCACAUGGUAAGCUGCAGGACGAAGCAGAGUCACCUCAGCGAUCUCGGCAUCAUGGCAGAGCUCCCCAACUGGAGCCUUUUCCGGAACAGGCGCUGGUGCCACUUCAGAGUUACCAGACGAAGUAACAAUCUUAGGCGAACUCGCCGAAGCUGCGUCACCAGCUUGGACGACUUCCGCCUGAACAUGGACGAACCCUACGCCUACAGCCACAGACUCUGCCGACAGAAGGGCCGCCACUUCUUUCCGUCGCCCCACCACCGCUCCUUAUCUUGCAGUUCCGUCUUGCUGGUGACGGGGUGCA
This 451-nucleotide long non-coding RNA is filed under the name Musa acuminata (dwarf banana). RNAcentral's name for it is "long non-coding RNA (MACU_LNC003058)". The record is from RNAcentral. Lineage: Eukaryota; Viridiplantae; Streptophyta; Magnoliopsida; Zingiberales; Musaceae.